GCUAAUGCCUGUUUCCCCUCUAGUCAGUAAUUUUCAGGGCCUUGGCUGCAUGAGGAGAAAAGGCAGAAGCCCAACUUGUUUCUGCCUCCCUGGAGAAGCUUUUGAGACCAGCCCGCUCAGAGGACCAAUGCGGGAGCCUGAGCCCCUGAUGCGUCUCGGGAGGCCUGGCCCCCUCAUCCAUCCCUACCUCUCCGAGGACGUCGGGGUGCGGACAGACAGGAAGGAAGCCGCGGGGCUGACCUGAACCAGACCUUCGGACCCCUGGACGACGGAGGACCGACCGGCCCCUCUCGGGAUGCAACCAGCACUGCACCGGCCCCCCCGUGAGGGCGUCGGUUGGCACCGAGCUGCCCCCCCCAUGGCCACUCUAUCCCACCCCCAUCCCACGAUUGUAUCCCCUUCCUUCAGACAAUGCCAUUUCCUUUGGGUAGGGGUCAAGGGUCAAACACUGCAUCAAGGGUUCCACAUGCAUCUCUGGCAAUUCCUGGAAGUGAUGGAUGUGCUUGUGACUGUGGUGUGAGAACGAGUGUCGGGACCAGAUCAGGGUGAGGGGGCCGCCCCUCUUUGGACGGGGUGACGGGUUCUGGAAACAGGGGCCAAGGGUUUGGGACAGGUGCUCUGACGAUGGACCUCCAGACCUGGGGUGAAGCUGCCUGGGGCCCUUAAUUCUGUAGACAGAGCGGCUUCCUCCGGGUCCGUCCAUCUGAAGGGAUCUGCCCCUGCUCUGGCUUCAAGAGUACAGACUCGCCUGCCCGCCCGAGGGGGGUGCCCCAGGGGGAGCGGGGUCCAGGGACAGAAAUAGUCGGGGGUGUGUGUGUAUCUGCGUGGAUGUGUGUGCGACUGCUGUGUGUCAUCCAUCUCUCCUGGAGGAGCCGAAU
This is a long non-coding RNA of Tachyglossus aculeatus (Australian echidna), 878 nucleotides long. RefSeq lists it as uncharacterized. The record is from RefSeq and is a predicted model, not a curated record. Lineage: Eukaryota; Metazoa; Chordata; Mammalia; Monotremata; Tachyglossidae. The transcript has 3 exons.